UGGGAACCCCCCCUUUUUAAAAUGGCUGGAUCCGCCACUGAGCAGCUAGCUGUAGACAACAUAAUACAUCGUAAAUAUUCGGUGAAAUUGUAGACGGACUUCAACAUAUUCAAUUAAAUACACACAACACAACACUAUAAUAAAAAAUAAAAAUCAGGGCGAGCAGGUAUCAGGGCAAACGGUCUCAGGGCGAAACGGAACUAGGGUGAACAGUAACUAGGGC
RNAcentral lists this long non-coding RNA (223 nucleotides) under Mytilus galloprovincialis (Mediterranean mussel). Lineage: Eukaryota; Metazoa; Mollusca; Bivalvia; Mytilida; Mytilidae. The record is from RNAcentral.